UAAAGUUGAUUAAAAUUUUUACUUACAAUAAGAAACACCUGUGGGCAGCUUUAU
This 54-nucleotide transfer RNA is filed under the name Eulimnogammarus vittatus. RNAcentral's name for it is "tRNA-Val". Lineage: Eukaryota; Metazoa; Arthropoda; Malacostraca; Amphipoda; Eulimnogammaridae. The record is from RNAcentral.